RNAcentral lists this ribosomal RNA (443 nucleotides) under uncultured bacterium. RNAcentral's name for it is "partial 16S ribosomal RNA". It matches the Rfam family "Bacterial small subunit ribosomal RNA", at positions 338 to 795 of the family's 1533-position model. The record is from RNAcentral.
CCUACGGGAGGCAGCAGUGGGGAAUAUUGGGCAAUGGGCGCAAGCCUGACCCAGCAACGCCGCGUGAAGGAAGAAGGCUUUCGGGUUGUAAACUUCUUUUCUCAUGGACGAAGCAAGUGACGGUACCUGAGGAAUAAGCCACGGCUAACUACGUGCCAGCAGCCGCGGUAAUACGGAGGUGGCAAGCGUUAUCCGGAUUUACUGGGGGUAACGGGCGUGUAGGCGGGACUGCAAGUCAGAUGUGAAAACCACGGGCUCAACCUGUGGCCUGCAUUUGAAACUGUAGGUCUUGAGUACUGGAGAGGCAGGCGGAAUUCCUGGUGGAGCGGUGAAAUGCGUAGAUAUUAGGAGGAACACCGGUGGCGAAGGCGGGUUGCUGGACUGUGACUGACGUUGAGGCUCGAAGGCGUGGGGAGCAAACAGGAUUAGAUACCCGAGUAGUC